GGCUUGGUAGCUCAGUCGGUAGAGCAGAGGAUUGAAAAUCCUUGUGUCGGUGGUUCGAUUCCGCCCCAGGCCACCA
RNAcentral lists this transfer RNA (76 nucleotides) under Achromobacter insolitus. RNAcentral describes it as "tRNA-Phe". It matches the Rfam family "tRNA". Rfam says of the family: Transfer RNA (tRNA) molecules are approximately 80 nucleotides in length. Their secondary structure includes four short double-helical elements and three loops (D, anti-codon, and T loops). Further hydrogen bonds mediate the characteristic L-shaped molecular structure. tRNAs have two regions of fundamental functional importance: the anti-codon, which is responsible for specific mRNA codon recognition, and the 3' end, to which the tRNAs corresponding amino acid is attached (by aminoacyl-tRNA synthetases). tRNAs cope with the degeneracy of the genetic code in two manners: having more than one tRNA (with a specific anti-codon) for a particular amino acid; and 'wobble' base-pairing, i.e. permitting non-standard base-pairing at the 3rd anti-codon position. Lineage: Bacteria; Pseudomonadati; Pseudomonadota; Betaproteobacteria; Burkholderiales; Alcaligenaceae. The record is from RNAcentral.